RNAcentral lists this ribosomal RNA (432 nucleotides) under uncultured bacterium. RNAcentral describes it as "partial 16S ribosomal RNA". It matches the Rfam family "Bacterial small subunit ribosomal RNA", at positions 29 to 506 of the family's 1533-position model. The record is from RNAcentral.
AACGAACGCUGGCGGCAUGCCUAACACAUGCAAGUCGAACGAGACCUUCGGGUCUAGUGGCGCACGGGUGCGUAACGCGUGGGAACCUGCCCUUAGGUUCGGAAUAACUCCCCGAAAGGGGUGCUAAUACCGGAUAAUGUCUUCGGACCAAAGAUUUAUCGCCUUUGGAUGGGCCCGCGUUGGAUUAGCUAGUUGGUAGGGUAAAAGCCUACCAAGGCGACGAUCCAUAGCUGGUCUGAGAGGAUGAUCAGCCACACUGGGACUGAGACACGGCCCAGACUCCUACGGGAGGCAGCAGUGGGGAAUAUUGGACCAUGGGCGAAAGCCUGAUCCAGCGAUGCCGCGUGAGUGAUGAAGGCCUUAGGGUUGUAAAGCUCUUUUACCCGGGAUGAUAAUGACAGUACCGGGAGAAUAAGCUCCGGCUAACUCCGU